AGGCUUGUGUUGGCCAAACGAGUUGUUCUCUGAAUGUUUCACAAGCAAUUUUUCGAACAAGCAUCUGCGGCAACACAAACAGGCUUGCAGUGCAGGCUACUUGCUAGCUAGGGGAAGAUGCUCCGUUUGAUUUACGAGUCACAGGAAAUCAGAAUCUGCUUUUGUCAAUAACAAACUAGAAUAAUGAUAGGAACCAACAUCAUCACUUGUGAUUCUUUGAUGAUGAUGAUAUGAUAGAACUUUUG
This 245-nucleotide unclassified non-coding RNA is filed under the name Hevea brasiliensis (rubber tree). The record is from RNAcentral. Lineage: Eukaryota; Viridiplantae; Streptophyta; Magnoliopsida; Malpighiales; Euphorbiaceae.